CCCUCGUGGUGCUUGGAUGGAGAGCAGCCUACCCAAUUGGACACUCAUCCCCAGGUGUCUUUGAGAUGCUUAAUGGCAGGGUUCUGCAGAGCAGAAAGGAUCGUUUGGAAGGAUGUGAAAUUUCUGAGGCCUAGGCACCCCUAGGGAAGGGAAGAGAUUGAGCUGUGAGUGGGGGCUGGAGCUCUCCAGCUCUGGAUUCUGUCCCCUCAUGGACUUCUCCUGUCCUGGAUGAGACAGAUGCCCAGGAAACCCAGGGAGGACACACCUGGGACCUGAGGAGUAACACUGUCAGGCACAAGGAUUUUUAGCUGAACACAAGGAAGGAGCACAGGAAGGAAGUGAGCUUGCCACCACCAGGACCUCAAGUCAAGGUCAGUGUGGCCCUGGCAGGAGUGUCUAGGGCCAGUGCAGGGACUCAGACCACAGACUUCAAUAUCGACAGCUGAGAAACAAGAGGCAAUUCCCAUGACUCCAAACAGAGUCUCCAUGGGCCUCCCAUGACUUACCUUGGCCACAUGAAUCCACAGCUCCACCAUCCUGGCCCUGUCCUGCGCUGUCAUGCCCAGGGCCCCGAGGCACGUAGCGAUGACACUGUUGGCCAAGGUGUUCGUGUGUGCCACAGUGUCACGGAUGGUGGGUGCCAGGUACUUGUGGUCCCUGCUGUCUCGCUGGGACCAGAUGGAGCCCAGGCAGUGGGCAGGCACCAAUUUCUUGAACAGCUCCUGAGGAAGAUUCAGAGUGUUGCCAGCACUGCCUCACACCAGCUCGGCAUCCAUGGUCCUCCACAGUCCCAGGCUGGUUGAGGACAGAGCGGGAGCUCAGGAAGCAGAGGAUGUGAUCUCUGAGGAAGGACUCCACUGCCUUUAAGGGAACUCUAGCCCAUGAACCUCAACACAGACAGUCUUCUCAGACUCCAGUCCCCUCACCUUUCUGUUUGGCCUCAAUGGCCUUGAGGUGCUCCAGGUGGCCUGGCAGAAGGGUCUGGACACAGCCCACCCCAGCCCUCCAUGCAAAUGGGCCACUGGAAUGAAGACUCCAGCAGAUCUGUGAGCAGCUUUCUCACGCACCUCCUACUAUGGACCUGGUGGUGGUGCUCACAAGGGGUGGAUGUGGAGAAAGGGAGGCAGAAGGAGCUGGGACUCUGCUGGGAUUGGGUCUCUAGGAGGCAACUCAGCCCAGCCUCCCUUCCGGUUCUCAGGGGGCCUGGGACCCAUGCAUAGCUCUCUUUGAGUCCAGUCCUGCUGGAGUGGAAGCCACCAGAACUCAGCCUUCCCAUGGGAAUCACAAGAUGGGUGAGAUGCAGGGCUCUCCCAGGCCUGCGCCAGCCACAGCCUCCAUCCUCUCCCCGCACCCUGUUUUCUAGAGACAGGAGGCCCUCCGUCUGCACCCAAAGACCACUCACUUUGGGAGGUGGUGCUGUCCUCCAGCAUCCUGCACACAAUGGGCCAAGCUGCCUCCAUGUGUCCCAAAGGGGAUGAGGGCAUCGGCCGGGAUGGAGGGUAGAUGGGACCUAGGAAUGAUGUCAAGCGUGACUGACUCUCAGAUUAGAGAGGAGGCCCAGUGAGGCUGUCUGCUUCAUUUAUUGAGUGACACUUAGUGUGUCCAGAUGCCCUGCACACAGUACGUCCUUCAUAGACAUUGUUAAAUGAACUCCAACCAGAACCACCCCAGGUGUCUGAGUAGGCCUGUGGCCCCUCUGUGACCCUAGAGAUCCCUAAGUGGCUACACCAAGGACAAGCACCAGGACCAGCUGGAUGGCAUCUCAAACUCCUUGACAGGGUGCUCUCCAGGUGUUUUUCCAAACUCAAAA
RNAcentral lists this long non-coding RNA (1810 nucleotides) under Equus asinus (donkey). RNAcentral describes it as "lncRNA (ENSEASG00005033863.1)". Lineage: Eukaryota; Metazoa; Chordata; Mammalia; Perissodactyla; Equidae. The record is from RNAcentral.